UGAAAUUGUAAUUUUUGUGCAACAUUAUAGGAUUAAACUUAUUUACUGGACGGAGUCCUAAACUUACAAACAAAAAAGAGGGCUUUUAUGUUGAAUUUGUGAGUCUGAGACCAGAUUACAAAGCAACCACGUUCUAAAAAAAUGUGCUAAAUUCUGAUAAUUAUUAAUUGAUACAUUUUUAAUAUUUGUUUUCCAAAUUUUAUCUUUCUUCAGACCUCAAAUUCUUUUCAUGUGUACUGCGCAUGACUAUAUUAGGGAAGCAGUUUUGGCAAAGGCGUUUAUUGACGUACCCAUCCUUCCAAGCAUACCUUAUCAAUAUAAACUGAACAGAUGGUCACUCAGGAAAAUGUGAUUCAAGUUUUCCUACUGGUUUAUCCAAGAUAUCCAUUAGUAUUACACAAAUUUACAAAAGGUUAACAAAUAUAAAAUGAUUGUCUUGUAGAGAAGCCAAGAAAAUUUUGUUCACAAAUUUUCCUUAUACACAAAUACAAUUGGUAGUAAAAUUUCAAACUACCCUCUUACAGGAAGUUCCUGUACUGAAGAUCUAAUUAUUGCACUCAACAUGUUAAGAUCUGGAGUCUAUUUCUGGACCAAAUAUGAAAUUAUUCCCUUUCAUAGAAGCUUAGACAAUUUUGAAGACAAACUUUUACCUUGUACAAUGAGUAGUUACAUUUCAAACUAUCAGCAAACACAAAGUGGCUGAACUGCAGAUCUAAAAACUGCUUAAUCGUUACAACUCAAUAUUUUCAAGCUUUGGGCCAAAUAUAAAAUCAUCCCCUUUCAUAAAAGCCAAGAAAACUUUACAAAAAUAAUUUCCUUGUACAUUCAGCAGUCAUACUUUAAACUGAGUAAUUAAUUUGGCUGCAUACCAGAUAAAAAAAAAUGCUUACAACUCUCCAUGAUCAAGCUCUGGGCUUCAUAUAAAAUCAUUCCCUCUCAUAGAAGCGAAGAAAUCAUUGUCGAAAGAUUAAUAGACAGACAGAAUUACAUACCGUGAUGCAGGUAAAAUGAUACCCCCACCUGAAUAUUUCCUUAUAAAACAGAAAGAUGUUGAAAUUUCAGAAAUCUUGGUAAAUUGAAAUUGUUCCUGGGAAAAAUGUAACUAAAAUUUUCCACAUUGCUAUCAUGUGUGAAAUGAUACAAGUGUAAG
RNAcentral lists this long non-coding RNA (1150 nucleotides) under Mytilus galloprovincialis (Mediterranean mussel). The record is from RNAcentral. Lineage: Eukaryota; Metazoa; Mollusca; Bivalvia; Mytilida; Mytilidae.